GGUGGUUCUCGAGUGAUGCACCCCAGAAUCAGGUUCCCUCCUCUCUGGUUCCCGGUGCAUCACCUGAGAACCUCA
Non-coding RNA from Myotis davidii, 75 nucleotides. The record is from Rfam. Lineage: Eukaryota; Metazoa; Chordata; Mammalia; Chiroptera; Vespertilionidae.